RNAcentral lists this small nucleolar RNA (65 nucleotides) under Heliconius melpomene (postman butterfly). The record is from RNAcentral. Lineage: Eukaryota; Metazoa; Arthropoda; Insecta; Lepidoptera; Nymphalidae.
UCAAAUGAUGAACAUAUCAGUUCUGCUUCUGAAGUUAUUUGAAGUCAACAUACCCACAAUACUGA